GAUGAGAGAGAAACAUGUCGCUGGCGAGAGAAAAAGAAGACAAAUGGAGUUGAUGUUUUAUUUAGCAUCACAGAUACUCUUGGAUCUCUUUUAUUGUUUGAUCGCCGCGUUUUCCCGUGUUUCACCGGAACGACCAAUGAAGAAGACCUUUCACUCGCUCAUCUAAGUCGUUGCGUUUAAUAAACGGACAUGGCCUAGCAAUUUUAUUUGCUCCUGGACUGAGAACUUGGGAGAGAUUGAAGUUAGAUUCUACACACGAGACUCUGUUCGAGCUACAGAACUCUAAAUACUUAGAGAAACGUGUUAGAUAGAUUGAGGAAAAAAGAGCAAACAAAAGAAACAUCAUUAGGGGCAGUGGAAACUCUGGAAGAAAAAUGAAACUUAUUAGGCAAGAGAUAAGCCGCAAUCUGCGGUUGGAGUAGAAAACACAAGCUACCAAGAUUAGAGUAUACAGAACAUUGCUGACGCGAAGUGCUUACGAGCAAAGAAAUGCAGUUAAAUAAAAAUAAUCAUAUAGAGAAGACCGAGUUAGCAGCAGAGAACGUAACCGAAGUUUUGAACAACAGGGUAAUGGAUAAGAAAAAACAUUGAGUUGAAGAAGCUUAAUUCGGGUUUGAUAAAAGUGAGGGAGUUUGAUUGAUAAGGAGGUAUGGCUUAGAGUCUGAUAAUAAAGUAGAAAUAACAAACUCAAAAGCCAUGGAACUUAAGCUAACAAGAAUGAAGAAUGUAAGUUUUCCAAGGCUGCUUAGAAUGGAAGUUUCAUCUUCCAUCCUUAACUUUAAUAAGAUCAAAGAGGCCUGG
RNAcentral lists this long non-coding RNA (801 nucleotides) under Brassica napus (rape). RNAcentral's name for it is "long non-coding RNA (BNAP_LNC023876)". Lineage: Eukaryota; Viridiplantae; Streptophyta; Magnoliopsida; Brassicales; Brassicaceae. The record is from RNAcentral.